AAAGGGCGCGUAGGCGGUUGGUACAGUCAGAUGUGAAAUUCCUGGGCUUAACCUGGGGGCUGCAUUUGAUACGUGCUGGCUUGAGUGUGGAAGAGGGUCGUGGAAUUCCCAGUGUAGAGGUGAAAUUCGUAGAUAUUGGGAAGAACACCGGUGGCGAAGGCGGCGACCUGGUCCAUUACUGACGCUGAGGCGCGAAAGCGUGGGGAGCAAACAGGAUUAGAUACCCCUGU
RNAcentral lists this ribosomal RNA (230 nucleotides) under uncultured bacterium. Its description in RNAcentral is "partial 16S ribosomal RNA". It matches the Rfam family "Bacterial small subunit ribosomal RNA", at positions 562 to 791 of the family's 1533-position model. The record is from RNAcentral.